RNAcentral lists this ribosomal RNA (426 nucleotides) under uncultured bacterium. RNAcentral describes it as "bacterial SSU rRNA". It matches the Rfam family "Bacterial small subunit ribosomal RNA", at positions 354 to 772 of the family's 1533-position model. The record is from RNAcentral.
GUGGGGAAUAUUGGACAAUGGGCGAAAGCCUGAUCCAGCCAUGCCGCGUGUGUGAAGAAGGUCUUCGGAUUGUAAAGCACUUUAAGUUGGGAGGAAGGGCAGUAAGUUAAUACCUUGCUGUUUUGACGUUACCAACAGAAUAAGCACCGGCUAACUCUGUGCCAGCAGCCGCGGUAAUACAGAGGGUGCAAGCGUUAAUCGGAAUUACUGGGCGUAAAGCGUGCGUAGUCGGUUAUCUAAGUCGGGUGUGAAAUCCCCGGGCUCAACCUGGGAAUUGCAUUCGAUACUGGAUAGCUAGAGUUCGGCAGAGGGAAGCGGAAUUUCGGGUGUAGCGGUGAAAUGCGUAGAUAUCCGAAGGAACAUCAGUGGCGAAAGCGGCUUCCUGGACCAGAACUGACGAUCAGGCACGAAAGCGUGGGGAGCAAA